RNAcentral lists this ribosomal RNA (460 nucleotides) under uncultured bacterium. RNAcentral describes it as "partial 16S ribosomal RNA". It matches the Rfam family "Bacterial small subunit ribosomal RNA", at positions 338 to 795 of the family's 1533-position model. The record is from RNAcentral.
CCUACGGGAGGCAGCAGUGAGGAAUAUUGGUCAAUGGCCGGAAGGCUGAACCAGCCAUGCCGCGUGAAGGUCAGUGCCCUAUGGGCGUUAAACUUCUUUUGUGCGGGAGCAAUAAUGGUCACGUGUGGCCAGACGAGAGUACCGUACGAAUAAGCAUCGGCUAACUCCGUUCCAGCAGCCGCGGUAAUACGGGGGAUGCAAGCGUUAUCCGGAGUUAAUGGGUUUAACGUGUGCGUAGGCUGUGAGGUAAGUCAGCGGUGAAAUGCCCCCGCUCAACGGGGUGAAGUGCCAUUGAUACUGCAUGGCUGGAAUGCGGAUGCAGUGGGAGGAAUGGGUGGUGUAGCGGUGAAAUGCAUAGAUAUCACACAGAACACCGAUUGCGAAGGCAUCUCACGAUUCCGCGAUUGACGCUGAUGAACGAAAGCGUGGGUAUCAAACAGGAUUAGAGACCCUAGUAGUC